CUGCUUCCUCUUUGGGACUGGGAGCUAUAAGGACCAUCAAGCCUGGAGCUGCCAUUGGCAACUUCAUCCUGCCUCCCGGGGAGAGCCUGCAUGAGAAUGCCAGGCAGAUGUUAAAAAUGGCAUUGCAGGAAAAUAUUUAAUGAUCUGGAGAGAUGUCCAUGAUACCUCCUUGCAUUCAAAAAAAACAAGCUACAAAACAGUACAUACCCUAUUAAUUGCUAUAUCUCUGCUCAUAUCUAUUCAUGUGCAAAUAACAAAAUGGAUGAUAGAUGCCAAGAUAUUAACAGUGGUUCUCUCUGUACCCCAGGCCCUGCCUACCCAGUUGGUGCCGAUGGCCACAGCCAUCAUGCCCGGUGUGAGUAGUCACCUGACCCCAGCUGGCUCAUCAGAUCAUCGCACACAGGAAUGUGACACAAGAGAAGAAGGAACUGGGUGAGAAUGAACUGAAAGGGCAGCAGGGUGGAGCAGCCAGGCCGGGCUGUGGAAAGGCAGAGAAAGCCAGAGGAGAAAGCAGACGGAGAGGAACUUCGACGUCUGGGAUUUGCUUCAAAAUAACCCACUGGGGCGGGUGUCGAUGAAACAGAAUUGGAUGAGCUGAUCACUUUCGAAGCUGGGCAUUGGUACGUAGCGGCAAGUAGGAACCUGGCCAGAGCUGAGGAGUGAGCCGACAACAGAUGUGAAGGUGCAGGCAGUGAGCCCCGAGACACACACAUAAGGAGCCCGGAAGCCCUCCCUGUGGCCCCACCGCCAACCACGCUCCCUCCCCACCCCUCUCCCUGUUGACUCCCAUGUCGUCCAAGAACCCUCGGCUCUGAGUAAUAAAUGUGCCUCUCGGCGGGACAUGUGUUUCCAA
RNAcentral lists this long non-coding RNA (853 nucleotides) under Equus caballus (horse). RNAcentral describes it as "lncRNA (ENSECAG00000049434.1)". The record is from RNAcentral. Lineage: Eukaryota; Metazoa; Chordata; Mammalia; Perissodactyla; Equidae.